Molecule: long non-coding RNA, 294 nt
Organism: Saccostrea echinata
Lineage: Eukaryota; Metazoa; Mollusca; Bivalvia; Ostreida; Ostreidae
Exons: 2
Source: RefSeq, a predicted model, not a curated record
AGAUAUGGGAGAACAAGUUAAAAUUUCGUUCGUUCAUCUUUUACUUGUGUUGGCCACCAUAGACGCUUCUUCAACAUCACCAGAUUUGCUUUCAAGAUGGCCGACUGGAGACUUCCUUUGGAUGGACGUAAUCUGUCAAACAUGUUGUCUAGGGAAUGGUUCACUCCGUAGUACGUGUAUCCAUAGACACUGUCUCCGGCAUGAAAAUCUGUGUCCAGUCCGUGAACUGAAAUAGAUAUUCAUUAAGAAGUGACGAAUCAUUUAUCAGUGAAAAUACAAUUUAAUCAAAGAUUU